AGCUUGCUUCUUUGAUGACGACCGGCGCACGGGUGCGUAACGCGUAUAGAAUCUACCUUAUACUGAGGGAUAGCCUUUGGAAACGAAGAUUAAUACCUCAUAGUAUGUUUUUAUCGCAUGAUAGAUACAUUAAAGGUUACGGUAUAAGAUGACUAUGCGUUCUAUUAGCUAGAUGGUGUGGUAACGGCACACCAUGGCAACGAUAGAUAGGGGCCCUGAGAGGGGGAUCCCCCACACUGGUACUGAGACACGGACCAGACUCCUACGGGAGGCAGCAGUGAGGAAUAUUGGACAAUGGAGGCAACUCUGAUCCAGCCAUGCCGCGUGCAGGAAGACUGCCCUAUGGGUUGUAAACUGCUUUUAUACAGGAAGAAACCUUUUCACGUGUGAAAAGCUGACGGUACUGUAAGAAUAAGGAUCGGCUAACUCCGUGCCAGCAGCCGCGGUAAUACGGAGGAUCCAAGCGUUAUCCGGAAUCAUUGGGUUUAAAGGGUCCGUAGGUGGAUAAUUAAGUCAGGGGUGAAAGUCUGCAGCUCAACUGUAGAAUUGCCUUUGAUACUGGUUGUCUUGAAUUAUUGUGAAGUAGUUAGAAUAUGUAGUGUAGCGGUGAAAUGCAUAGAUAUUACAUAGAAUACCAAUUGCGAAGGCAGAUUACUAACAAUAUAUUGACACUGAUGGACGAAAGCGUGGGGAGCGAACAGGAUUAGAUACCCUGGUAGUCCACGCCGUAAACGAUGGUCACUAGCUGUUCGGAUUUAUCUGAGUGGCUAAGCGAAAGUGAUAAGUGACCCACCUGG
Molecule: ribosomal RNA, 797 nt
Filed under: Lacinutrix gracilariae
Lineage: Bacteria; Pseudomonadati; Bacteroidota; Flavobacteriia; Flavobacteriales; Flavobacteriaceae
Description: bacterial SSU rRNA
Rfam family: Bacterial small subunit ribosomal RNA
Source: RNAcentral